CAGUCCGCCACGGGAAUACGUAGGUGGCAAGCGUUGUCCGGAAUUAUUGGGCGUAAAGGGCUCGCAGGCGGUUUCUUAAGUCUGAUGUGAAAGCCCCCGGCUCAACCGGGGAGGGUCAUUGGAAACUGGGAAACUUGAGUGCAGAAGAGGAGAGUGGAAUUCCACGUGUAGCGGUGAAAUGCGUAGAGAUGUGGAGGAACACCAGUGGCGAAGGCGACUCUCUGGUCUGUAACUGACGCUGAGGAGCGAAAGCGUGGGGAGCGAACAGGAUUAGAUACCCCCGUAGUCCCUGUCUCUUAUA
Molecule: ribosomal RNA, 301 nt
Filed under: uncultured bacterium
Lineage: Bacteria
Description: partial 16S ribosomal RNA
Rfam family: Bacterial small subunit ribosomal RNA
Source: RNAcentral